RNAcentral lists this ribosomal RNA (253 nucleotides) under uncultured bacterium. Its description in RNAcentral is "partial 16S ribosomal RNA". It matches the Rfam family "Bacterial small subunit ribosomal RNA", at positions 524 to 776 of the family's 1533-position model. The record is from RNAcentral.
UACGUAGGCAGCGAGCGUUGUUCGGAAUUACUGGGCGUAAAGAGUGUGUAGGCGGUGCUCCAAGUCUGUUGUGAAAUCUCCCGGCUUAACUGGGAGGGUGCAGCGGAAACUGGAAUGCUUGAGGGUGGGAGAGGUAAGCGGAAUUCCUGGUGUAGCGGUGAAAUGCGUAGAUAUCAGGAGGAACACCUGUGGUGUAGACAGCUUACUGGACCACAUCUGACGCUGAGACCCGAAAGCGUGGGUAGCAAACAGG